AAACAAGCGGUGGCAAUUGCAGCGAGAAGGAGAAGAAGAAAAGUGAAUUUGAAAAGAGAAGACCAAUGAAAAGCCAUUGAUAACCUCUUACGCCAAGGCCUACACUCCUCUUCGUCUUGGUCGUCAGGAGUUGCUUGUUUCAAUGACAAGCGCGGCCUUAAUCCUCCUAAAUUAGCCAGAUUUCUCAAUUGAAGAUAAAAAUUAAACACCCCUAAAUCUAUAAGGAUAAAACCCCAAGAAAAUUUCUACAAUGCCUCAUCUCCCAAGAACAAAAAGAUCAAUUUUGCGAUAGUUUUUGAUCUUGGGGUGGAUCUAUAAGCUUAAAAAAGCUUUGCUUUGCUACUUUCCUUCUGCUAUUUUUUGCGUUUUGCGUCUAGGAAGAUGCUAAUUCGCG
RNAcentral lists this unclassified non-coding RNA (394 nucleotides) under Hevea brasiliensis (rubber tree). Lineage: Eukaryota; Viridiplantae; Streptophyta; Magnoliopsida; Malpighiales; Euphorbiaceae. The record is from RNAcentral.